Perca fluviatilis (European perch) is the source of this 307-nucleotide long non-coding RNA. RefSeq lists it as uncharacterized. The record is from RefSeq and is a predicted model, not a curated record. NCBI's taxonomy places the organism in Eukaryota, Metazoa, Chordata, Actinopteri, Perciformes, Percidae. The transcript has 5 exons.
GGGUGCCCCUGGUGGUCGUGGUUUCCCUGGUUCUGAUGGCGCUGCUGGACCCAAAGGUGCCACUGGCGAGCGCGGUGCCCCCGGUCUUGUUGGACCUAAAGGUUCUACCGGUGAGCCUGGUUUGCCCGGAGCUAAGGGUAUGACUGGUAGCCCUGGACCUGAUGGCAAGAUGGGACCUGCUGGAGCCGCUGGACAAGAUGGCCGCCCCGGACCCCCUGGCACCGAUGGAGCAAGAGGCCUGCCUGGAGUCAUGGGAUUCCACGGACCCAAGGGAGCUGCUGGUGACGCUGGAAAACCUGGCGAGAGG